Molecule: transfer RNA, 86 nt
Filed under: Actinomycetota bacterium
Lineage: Bacteria; Bacillati; Actinomycetota
Description: Actinobacteria bacterium tRNA-Tyr
Rfam family: tRNA
About the family: Transfer RNA (tRNA) molecules are approximately 80 nucleotides in length.
Source: RNAcentral
GGCGGAUUGCCCGAGCGGCCAAUGGGAGCGGACUGUAAAUCCGUCGACUUACGUCUACCCAGGUUCGAAUCCUGGAUCCGCCACGA